This 641-nucleotide ribosomal RNA is filed under the name uncultured fungus. RNAcentral describes it as "eukaryotic LSU rRNA". It matches the Rfam family "Eukaryotic large subunit ribosomal RNA", at positions 24 to 663 of the family's 3401-position model. The record is from RNAcentral. Lineage: Eukaryota; Fungi.
CCCGCUGAACUUAAGCAUAUCAAUAAGCGGAGGAAAAGAAACUAACAAGGAUUCCCCUAGUAACUGCGAGUGAAGCGGGAAAAGCUCAAAUUUAAAAUCUGGCGGUCUCGCGGCCGUCCGAGUUGUAAUCUGGAGAAGCGUCUAUCCGCGUCGGACCGUGUACAAGUCUUCUGGAAGGGAGCGUCGUAGAGGGUGAGAAUCCCGUCUUUGACACGGACAACCGAUGCUUUUGUGAUGCGCUCUCGAAGAGUCGAGUUGUUUGGGAAUGCAGCUCAAAAUGGGUGGUAAAUUCCAUCUAAAGCUAAAUAUUGGCGAGAGACCGAUAGCGAACAAGUACCGUGAGGGAAAGAUGAAAAGCACUUUGGAAAGAGAGUUAAACAGUACGUGAAAUUGUUGAAAGGGAAACGUUUGAAGUCAGUCGCGUCGGCCGAGACUCAACCUUGCGCUCGCGCUCGGUGCACUUCUCGGUUGACGGGUCAGCAUCAAUUUCGACCGCCGGACAAAGGUUGGGGGAAUGUGGCAUCCUUCGGGAUGUGUUAUAGCCCUUGAUUCACAUACGGCGAUUGGGAUUGAGGAACUCGGCGCCUCGCGCGUCCAGGAUGCUGGCAUAAUGGCUUUAAGCGACCCGUCUUGAAAACACG